This 480-nucleotide ribosomal RNA is filed under the name uncultured bacterium. RNAcentral's name for it is "partial 16S ribosomal RNA". It matches the Rfam family "Bacterial small subunit ribosomal RNA", at positions 28 to 523 of the family's 1533-position model. The record is from RNAcentral.
GACGAACGCUGGCGGCGUGCUUAACACAUGCAAGUCGAACGAUGAAGUUCCUUCGGGAAUGGAUUAGUGGCGAACGGGUGAGGAACACGUGAGAAACCUGCCCAUCAUUCUGGGAUAACACCGGGAAACCGGUGCUAAUACCGGAUACUCCAUCGCGGCGGCAUCGCUGCGCUGGGAAAGAAUUUCGAUGAUGGAUGGUCUCGCGGCCUAUCAGCUUGUUGGUGAGGUAAUGGCUCACCAAGGCGACGACGGGUAGCCGGCCUGAGAGGGCGACCGGCCACACUGGGACUGAGACACGGCCCAGACUCCUACGGGAGGCAGCAGUGGGGAAUAUUGGGCAAUGGACGCAAGUCUGACCCAGCGACGCCGCGUGAGGGAUGAAGGCCUUCGGGUUGUAAACCUCUCUCAGCUAUGACGAAGCGCAAGUGACGGUAGUAGCAGAAGAAGGACCGGCCAACUACGUGCCAGCCGCCGCCGUAA